UACGGAGGGUGCGAGCGUUGUCCGGAAUCAUUGGGCGUAAAGGGUGCGUAGGUGGGUCUGUAAGUCAGUGGUGAAAUCUCCGAGCUUAACUCGGAAACUGCCAUUGAUACUAUAGAUCUUGAAUUAUCUGGAGGUGAGCGGAAUAUGUCAUGUAGCGGUGAAAUGCUUAGAUAUGACAUAGAACACCAAUUGCGAAGGCAGCUCACUACGGAUUGAUUGACACUGAGGCACGAAAGCGUGGGGAUCAAACAGG
RNAcentral lists this ribosomal RNA (253 nucleotides) under uncultured bacterium. RNAcentral describes it as "partial 16S ribosomal RNA". It matches the Rfam family "Bacterial small subunit ribosomal RNA", at positions 524 to 776 of the family's 1533-position model. The record is from RNAcentral.